GGUAGUCCACGCCGUAAACGAUGUCGACUUGGAGGUUGUGCCCUUGAGGCGUGGCUUCCGGAGCUAACGCGUUAAGUCGACCGCCUGGGGAGUACGGCCGCAAGGUUAAAACUCAAAUGAAUUGACGGGGGCCCGCACAAGCGGUGGAGCAUGUGGUUUAAUUCGAUGCAACGCGAAGAACCUUACCUACUCUUGACAUCCAGAGAACUUAGCAGAGAUGCUUUGGUGCCUUCGGGAACUCUGAGACAGGUGCUGCAUGGCUGUCGUCAGCUCGUGUUGUGAAAUGUUGGGUUAAGUCCCGCAACGAGCGCAACCCUUAUCCUUUGUUGCCAGCGGUUAGGCCGGGAACUCAAAGGAGACUGCCAGUGAUAAACUGGAGGAAGGUGGGGAUGACGUCAAGUCAUCAUGGCCCUUACGAGUAGGGCUACACACGUGCUACAAUGGCGCAUACAAAGAGAAGCGACCUCGCGAGAGCAAGCGGACCUCAUAAAGUGCGUCGUAGUCCGGAUUGGAGUCUGCAACUCGACUCCAUGAAGUCGGAAUCGCUAGUAAUCGUAGGUCAGAAUGCUACGGUGAAUACGUUCCCGGGCCUUGUACACACCGCCCGUCACACCAUGGGAGUGGGUUGCAAAAGAAGUAGGUAGCUUAACCUUCGGGAGGGCGCUUACCACUUUGUGAUUCAUGACUGGGGUGAAGUCGUAACAAGGUAACCGUAGGGGAACCUGC
RNAcentral lists this ribosomal RNA (726 nucleotides) under uncultured bacterium. Its description in RNAcentral is "bacterial SSU rRNA". It matches the Rfam family "Bacterial small subunit ribosomal RNA", at positions 789 to 1515 of the family's 1533-position model. The record is from RNAcentral.